UAGNGCAAGCAGGCAGAUCAACUCCUGCUUCAAAAUACAUUAGCAUGGGAUAAUGGCCCUAGGACCUNUCCUCCUAUAUCAGUUAGGUUUUGGCAGCGCGAGGACUAGUGGUAAUGAUUAAUAGGGAUAGUAUUGGGGUGCAUUAAUAUUUAAUUNGUCAGAGUGUGAAAUCUCUUGGAUUUAUGACAGAUUAACUUACUGCGAAAGCAUCUGCCAAGGAUGUUUACCUUAAUCAAGAACGAAAGUUAAGGGGAUCGACAGACGAUACAGAUANCGUUCGAAAGCUCUUAACCAUCAAACCGAUGCCGAACCAGACGAUAAAGGAGAACAGUAAGAAUACAAAAAACAAACNNACAACCAAAUACAGGCACAGACCAGAGANCCAUGAUCCACAUUUUGGGGGCGCCAGGUUAACCGANGUAUACAACAGGCAACACGGUGGGACGCCCGACCGNAAAGAGAGCCCGGANAUGAUAAGCAACCACUGAGGAUNNGAGGANAACACAUGAGAUUGGAAAAAUUNGNAACUUCACCACACAUAAGNANACA
This 549-nucleotide ribosomal RNA is filed under the name Acanthamoeba sp. ID10. Its description in RNAcentral is "partial 18S ribosomal RNA". The stretch from base 1 to 407 matches the Rfam family "Eukaryotic small subunit ribosomal RNA", at positions 769 to 1115 of the family's 1831-position model. Lineage: Eukaryota; Discosea; Longamoebia; Acanthamoebidae. The record is from RNAcentral.